AGAUGAGGUGUCUGGGAGGGCUUCUCCAUCAGCUUGGAUGAAUAAAGUUUUGAAGCCCUUGGAGCCUCCUGCAGAUGUGUCUACAGGGAGGACUUCUCCAGCUCCUUCCUUGGAUGUUGCACUCAAGCCCAGCUCCCAUCACAGGAGUGAGUAGUGUGUCCCUGCUGACCCACAGGCUGAGCCUUGCUUUUGUAGGAUCCAUUCCAGGGAAAUGGAAAUAUUUUUCUCUAAGGUACUCCAACAGGAAAAAUCCAAGAUACAACAGAUAAGAUAUCCCUGGAACCAUCCAAACAGAUGAGGCAAGAGCUGAAGGAACCCCUGCAGACAAGACAAGAGCUGGACAUAGUGCUUCAGUGGAAGUUGGCAUUUCUUGAAGGAAGCACUCCAUCUUUGGUGCCAGCCCCUGUUGCAGGAAGGAAGGCGAUUCCAGACACGGGCACAGGCACAGCAG
Passer domesticus (house sparrow) is the source of this 451-nucleotide long non-coding RNA. RefSeq lists it as uncharacterized. The record is from RefSeq and is a predicted model, not a curated record. NCBI's taxonomy places the organism in Eukaryota, Metazoa, Chordata, Aves, Passeriformes, Passeridae. The transcript has 3 exons.